GGAGCUCAGUGGUAGAGUACCUGCUCUGCAUGCAGAAGUUCCCAGGUUCAACCCCCAGGUGGGGCU
This is a non-coding RNA of Podarcis lilfordi (Lilford's wall lizard), 66 nucleotides long. NCBI's taxonomy places the organism in Eukaryota, Metazoa, Chordata, Lepidosauria, Squamata, Lacertidae. The record is from the annotation of a GenBank genome assembly.